RNAcentral lists this long non-coding RNA (6681 nucleotides) under Sus scrofa (pig). Its description in RNAcentral is "lncRNA (ENSSSCG00035057966.1)". Lineage: Eukaryota; Metazoa; Chordata; Mammalia; Artiodactyla; Suidae. The record is from RNAcentral.
AUGCUGCCAGCUCGCUGCGGGAGCCUCCCUUCUCCGAGCUUAGGAGGGAAGGGCGAGCAAGUGCGCGCGCACACCCAGACCCAGACACACACACACACACACACACACACACACACACACAUCUCCUUCCUUCGGAGUUGUGUCUCGUCUCCCUUUUGUUUUUCUCCAUUCCCGGUCAUGAGACCCGGAAGUUUUUUUUUUUUUUUUUUUUUUAAUCCAGUCUCUCUCCCUUUUCCAACCCCACCCCCCCAAUCUAUCACAUGGCAGAGACAGAAUAAAAACAGAAAAAUGGCGACGGUCACGUUGUGGCGAGCACGUUGUAUCCUUGCUGCGUCAUUAGAUAAUCCUCAUGCAAAUAGCGGGAAGAACAAAGGAAGGGGGGCCCGGGACCCCCGGGGGCGCAGGGUGCUGGCGUGGGUCCCUCGCCGUCCGGCGGCGACUGUAAAUAGAGCCUGGAUGUUGUUUACAUGAAGGAUCCGGCGGGAGGAGUCUGCGAGGAGGAGGCGGAGGAGGAGGAGGAGGGAGGAGAGAGGAAGACCAGAGUCCCCGCGGCGGCGGUCCGGGGUGAGGGUGAGCCCCGCGCGCGUAGGGCACCGGGGGCUACCGCGAGGCCGGGACGCUGGACCUGGGGUAGGAGGGAGAAUGGGCGCCGGGCUGGGAGAAGGGGGGGGCUGUCAGAGAGGCAUUUUUAGCUUCCUACCUGCCACGCAGAUUCUCCGGGGCGAGAGGGGAGGGGUGUGCGAGGAGGGCGGGGAAUCCUGAUUUCCCUACACGUUCCUUUUCCCAUCCCCAGUCUCUUCCCGCUUCCUCUUGAGGCUCACCUGUUUAUUUCCUUCAGCCAGAGCUUGCAGUUUGUUUGUUUUUUUUUCCGGUAGGCAAGAGAAGCUCUUUCUUUUAUUAGAAACGUUAUUGGGGAAGGGGGUGUCCGCCUGUAAUUUAUGACGGUCCCGGUCGGUUUUCAAGAAGGGGGAGGGGACUUGGCCGGAGACCGCCCGGUAGCUGACCCUCGGGCUUCUCCCUGCCUUCCUGGUCGGCCGAGGAAGCUUUUUCCUCGCACAACUACCCGCAGGCCAGCUGCCGCCUUCUUGGAGAAGGACCACAUCUAUUCCUAUUCCUCCCUUUGGAGGAGAGGUGAGCUGAGAAAGCGGGGAAUCCUCUGUUCCCCAAAGCUCCUAGCCAAGCUUCCCAUCCCAGCAUUGGCCAGAAAGUGCUGCUUUCACCUGCUGAUGGCACUGGGUACAUCCAACCCCGUGCCCCGGCAAGUUGUGGUCCAUAGAUGUGUUGGCAUUUUUUCUCGCCUCUGGACCUACAUGCCAGCAACCAGCAGCUAAUUGCUACGUUUAGAUUGAGAGCGAUGUGACCCCCCUUCAGCUUAGCGUUCGUUCUUUAUUCCCCACCGGGUCUUCCAGUGGAGUCAUCUCUUCUCCCCCCACAGCCCCUUUCAUUCUUCCCCUGAGAGUUUAGCCUAGAAUCUGGCCUAAGCAGCCAGUCUCUGGCUGUUAUUCCGUGGGCUCCACCCUGGCCCCUCUUGGUUCUCCAGAGCCAAACACGCCUCCCAAGCUGAAGGCACACCCUGCCCUAAAUCUAACCAGUCCAAAAGGGAGGAGAAGACAGUGGAAGAGAAGGGACCCAGGGGUCUCUUUUUUGUCCUGAGUAUGCCCAACAGCAUUUUCCCUUCAAGCUUCCUGAGUUUAUAAUCCCUUUAUUCUUAUCAGCUGCCCCCCGCCUUGCCCUUAGUCCUAUGAUAGAUGUUUAUGGAAGUGAGGAUGGGGGGGUUGUCAUCCCUUUUCCCUAAUGUGAGGCAUUUUCCUUCUCCGUAGUCUUUUCAUUUUGGAGUUGCUUAACAAGCAAAACAUGUAGAUAUGUGUGCACGCUUAUUUGAACUUGCUUUCUUGCCAGCUAAUGAAGAGCUGGGACUCAAAAGGGAGGGGAGGGGAUAGCGAUGAGAAGAGCACGUUCCCCCUAGUGUCCCCCAUGGCAUUUCCAGAGCUGCUGGAGAAGACCCUUCUGGGAAAGCCAGCAGUCUCCCUUCCAUAAUAUCACCACCUCAGCCCUUCCGACUUGAGCUUCAGAACAGGAAGACCGCUCAAAAUAGUACUAUCUUCAGAAUCCAGCUCCAUUUAGAAGAUAAUUCUUAAGUCAGCUGCAGGAGGAGCCCUGCACUUUAACAUGGGGAGAGAAAACUGUAGUUUGUGUAAUUGGUUCCUUUGGGGCAGGGGAGAGGGGUACUUUCCACGUAGAUUCAGAAAAGCUUUUCUCAAUAUCAGUUGGGUACCUAGAUCAAUGAAUGAUUCAUAGGAUGGUGUGAGAUUCGUGUAUUGAAUUCUUCGUAUGUUUUGGUAUGUCAACAAUAACAGGCACUUUUCAGAAUGAAUUAAAGAGGGGCUGCAAGAAUGUGCUCUGGAGAGUCUGCUAGAGGUAGAGGAGGGCGUGGGAGGGAGCACUUGCAGGCGAGGAAUCUGAGGAUGCAGUGACAGCUGCUGUGAGUGUGGAAGUUGAGAGGCUUACUAUAAACAACGCCUGCCACUUUUGCAGAGUGACUAAUAUCCUGGCCAAAACGUAGCAAUGUCAGGAUCCUCCACCUUUACCUCGAAAACGAACCCCAUGUCUGAAUCAGGAUGUCUCCAUUUUUUCCCCCGGAUUCUCUCAGCUGAAAGAGUUCAGCCUUCAGGAAGGGCUGCUUCAUAAAUGAUCAUCACUAAAGUAUUAACAAACUUUAAGGAUUAGAAGUAGGGCAGAAAACACCUGGCAUAAUUUGAGUACUUGGUGGGGGCUGUAGAAUGACGUGCUGCAUGAAGGAUGAUGGCAUCAAAGACUGCAGGUGAUAGGACUGUCUCUACCUGCAUUAAAACGGCAGCCACUAGUCACAGGUGGCUGACAGGCACCUGAAGUCUGGCGAGGAUGAUGAAGAAGUGAAUUUUUUUUUUUUUUUUGCUAUUUCUUGGGCCACUCCUGCGGCAUAUGGAGGUUCCCAGGCUAGGGGUUGAAUCGGAGCUGGAGCCACCGGCCUAUGCCAGAGCCACAGCAACGCAGGAUCCGAGCCCCGUCUGCAACCUACACCACAGCUCACGGCAGCGCCGGAUCCUUAACCCACUGAGCAAGGGCAGGGACCGAACCCGCAACCUUAUGGUUCCUAGUCGGAUUCGUUAACCACUGCGCCACAACGGGAACUCCUUAUUUUUUUUUUUAACUUUAAUUUUAAAAACUGGUGAUGCAUUCGAUUAUUGGAAAACUUCAUUUGGUUAGGAAACAACUCGAGCAUAUGCAUCUCCUUUGUAAGCUGUAAAUUUUGUGAAAUCUAAAUACAGAUUGAAUAUUUCUGAUGAAAAUGUAGUGUUUGAAUUGAGAUGUUAUCACCGUAAGAUACACUCAGGAUUUCAAAGAUUUAGUACAAACAAACCUCAGUAAUAAUUUUGGUUUUGAUAACACGUUCUACUGAAAAUAUUUUGGGUAUGGUGCAAGAAAUGAAAUACAUUGUUAUGCCACCUGAACCUAUUUAUUUUUUAGCUUUUAAACAGUGUGACUGCUGGAGUAUCUACAGUUACGUACGUGGCUUGCUUUUUACUGCCGGGACAGCGCUGAUCUAUAUCUUUGUUCCUUUUUUCUCCCUGGAUUAAUUUCAAAAGAGGUGACUGCCUGAAACAGUUACUUCAUGUCUGUCAGCCCUUUACUUUCACCUGCUCUUUUCCAUGUGGACGUUCGGGGGCCCACAGAGUGACAAUUGUAGUACAUGAGACUAAUGGUGACUUCUUCCCAGAUUUCUCUGCCGGAGGCGUGCCCCGCUCGGGAAGGUCCAUAGAGAAGUCCAGGGUCCUGGAAGGGCUCCUAGGGGUGUCCUGGGAAAAUAUAGGGCAAGAGUGUGUCUGGCAAGAGCUGCUGUUGUAUAAGGCUCCUGGGCAUGCCAGAAUAUAUCAGAGAACAGUGUGUGGCAUGGUAAUACUCGUGACACCUGCUGGCAUUUUAGCGGUACCACUCACUUUUAUUUUCCCUUUCUCUGCAUUCGCUUUCUGCUCCACCUCCUAGUUCCUCUGGUGGUGAUUGGGCCCACAGGGUUACUGACCCCUCUCCUCCAAAAAAUUAUCCUGCUGACCUGAACGGAGAUGUCUUUGGGGUUUGGUUUGAUCUAAUUAGAUUCAGUGAUGGCACUGGCAGGAACUUGGGGGGCAUUUAGUACUGUCGGCUCAUUUUUAUAGAGGACAAACUGUUGAUUGCUUUGCCUGUAGACUCACAGACAGAGGCAUUACCUGUAUUUUUUGUGGAUGACCUAUUUAGAGACUCCCUGGGAAAUCAAGAAGUUGAUCAGUGAUCAGUCACGUAUUUGUAGAGCUUGCAUUUUGUGGAAAGGCCUGGGAUUAAUGCUGUGAAGGGACAGGAAGAAAACAGUCUCUGAUGUCAGGACCGCGCCUGUUGAUGUGAGGAAAUAAGAUGUGAACGGUGCCAAAUUCAGUCACAGUUUAAGAUACCACCCUUCAUACCGAGCGCAGGACCUCUGUGUUACAAGGAGAAAGAAAAGUGCUUUUUUCCACGUGUUGGAAGUAGAACUGUGUUCCUUUUCCAGAUGUAGGAAUAGAAGCUCUGAGAAUGGUGGACUCUGCAGAAAAGAGGAGUGUGAUUGUGUUUCUGGAACAGCCCAGGGCUCUAGAGGUGGAGGUCAGUGCUAGUCUUUGGUGCUGCCCCCUCUUAGCUGUCCAGGAAGAGGGAAUUUGAGAACCCAGACCCCGCAUUUUGAAAUGGCAGUGUUGCCGGUAAUGAGGAAAUCCUAGAUUAAUUGGAGACGGCCAGGAGAUGGUUAGCUAGGGGUAGAUCAUUUUUGAAGUCAGCUGAUGUAUUUUCGACUAGUUAUUCUAAAGGGUACAGUAGCAGAGGUGAAAACAGAAUAACAUUGACUUGUAAGCAGACUCUGAAAAUCGGGGGGGAAAAGUUAAAUCUCGCGCAACAUCUGAAAGUAUAGACGGGUGGACUAAAACUAUGAAUGCUGAGUCCGUGGGUAAAGGGGAAGGCCCAUGUAAGAGAAGAUCUAUUUAAAUUUAAUAUCUGUGAAAUAUGAAGUGUGGGGGGGUCCAUUUCCUUGUAAGUUUUUAGUCUCUUGAAGCCUUUUUGGACUAAAAUCCCCAACAACCGAGGACUAAGACAUGUCUUUGCUUGUACACAUAGCUUCUGCGUUAGUUUUUCUCUUCUGUGCGGACCUACCAAGGUUACGCAGUGUGACUGUUGCGAUGUGAGUGCUUGGAGUGGGUAAAACAAGGUCACCGCCUUGCAGUUCCUCCCAGUUAGUGCUUCUCUCUGAGAAUUGGGGCUGACUUGGCACAAAGCAGUUGUCCUUGGCUUUUCCUUGCCCUUUUGGCCAAUUUAUUUCUCCUAAAGAAAGAAAAAAAUGAGUAACCUCUUUACUCCAGGUUUCCCACUAACCUUGGCACGAGUUAGUUUCUGAACCCUUUUUUUUCUUUAAUUUUAAUUUUUUUAUUUAUUUUUAUUUUUUGGAGUUCCUCUUGUGGCUCGGUGGGUUAAGAAUCCAACUAGUAUCCGUGAGGAAGCAGAUUCAAUCCCCAGCCUCAUUCACUGGCUUAAGACCUGGUGUUGCUGCAAGCUGCGGUGUAAGAUGUGGCUCAGCUCUGGCAUUGCUGUGGCGUAGGCCAGUAGCUGCAACUCCCAUCCCUAGCCUGGGAACUUGAAAAAAAAAAGGGUUUUUUUCAUUUUUUUAAAAAUUUUUUAUGGUUGCACCAUAAAAAAGUUCCUAGACCGGGGACUGAAUCCAAGCAGCAGCUGCGACCUGUACCUCAUUUGCAGCAAUGCAGCAUCCUUUUAACCCACUGCACCGGGCCAGGGAUGGAACUCAUGCCUAUGAAGCAACCUGAGCUGCUACAGUGGUAUUCUUUUUUUUUUUGUCUUUUGUCUUUUGAGGACUGCACCCACCGCAUAUGGAGGUUCCCAUGCUAGGGGUCUAAUCAGAGCUGUUGCUGCCAGCCUACGCCACAGCCACAGCAACACCAGAUUCGAGCUGCGUCUGUGACCUACACCACAGCUCACGGCAAUGCCGGAUCCUUUAACUAUAGUGGGAUUCUUAACCCACUGUGCCACAGUGGGAAUUCCAGUUGUUAAAUACUCUUUUUUUCUUUCUCUAGGGCCACACCUGUGGCAUAUGGAUGUUCCGAGGCUAGGGAUCAAAUUGGAGCUGUCGAAUAGCCGCUGACCUACCCCACAGCCACAGCAACGCCAGAUCCUUAACCACCGAGCGAGGCCAGGGAUUGAACUCUCAUUCUCACGGAUAUUGGCGGGUUUGUAACUUGCUGGGUCACAGUGGGUACUUCAGUUUUUAAAUACGUUUAACAGCAAAACUUUGCAGUAAAAUGCAAGUAUACCUUCUCUGUACUUCCAACAAAGUAGUAGUUGACAUUUGCCAUCUUCUGUUGACAGUACAUUUUUAUAACAUGACAAUUUGGUCAAAUUUGCGCAUUUUACAAUGUCACUGAAUUGGACUAUGGUUUUCAGGUUGGGAAAGAAAAAAAAAAUCACACUUUAGUAAAAGACCAGUGGAUUAAUUAAACAACCUACUUAUGGAGUUCUCGUGGCAUGGUAGGUUAAGGAUUUGGUGGUGUCACUGCAGCAGCGUGAUCGACCCCGUGCCUGGGAACUUUCACCUGCCACAGGUGAAGCCAAAAAAAAAAAAAAAAAAAAAAAAAA